CCUACAGAAAACAAAAUACCAAGAUCAAGGAUGCAUUUUCUAAGCAGCUAGGGAAGCAUGUCAAGAAGUUUCCAGAAACUUGCUGAUAUAAUCAGGAAGGAGCAAUGCUUUGAGAAUCAAAGGCUCAAUUCUGCCUAUAUGACAACAUGCUGUUACAUUUUAAAUUUCAUGCUCAUUUCUCACAUGAUUUAUUUUGCUAAUAAAACCAUGAAAUUCCUAAAGUCAUAUGGAUAAAGGAAUGUUGCAACUUCGGCUUUCAUACUAAAUUUUUUAUGGGAUUUGAAAAGAUUAAAAUUGUUAUAUACUAUGUGUAUCAAUGUGUGUGUAAUUUAUUGAAACUUAGCUUUUUCACUUAGCAAUGUGGCAAGUGUUUCCAUGUCAAUACAUAUCCUAGAGCAUCAGUCACACAAGCUACAGAUAUUCAACUAGAGAGGGGAAUUCAUUUUUAUUGAUCUAUUAUUGGAAGGAGAACUUAUUUCUAAUUUUCCCUUACAUUAAAAAUAAUAGCAAUAAAAAUCUUUAUGUAUAUACAUAUUCACACAUACACUCAAUUCUAGGUUUAUCUCCUCAAAAUCAAAUCCUCGAAGUAGGUUUGUCAGAUAAAAAGGUAUAUACAUUUAAAAAGAGAUAAGUAGUCAAAUCGCCCUUCCAGAAUAUUGUACCAGUCUCUAAGUUCCAUAUUUUUUUCAGUGAAAGAAAUGCUUACAUGGGUAAAUAAACUCCAAUUUUUUCAAUGAGAUAAAUACAUAUACAGAUAAAUUACAUUCAGACUAAACAAUAUAAUAACUAUCUACCAUGUGCAAAUGCAACAUCUAAGCUAAUAGGAUCUAGUUAUCAUUGUUUGCCACUCUAGGCCUUAGUGACAUAGGGUUGUCUGUACUCCCACGUGUUCUCUAAGUAGGCAGGUGGUAUGGGGGGUCAAAGUCUAAAAGUGCAGGGAUAGGCGGGGGCGGAGCCUUCGAUCGUCCACGAGUCGCCCUCUUCAGCUGGGUGAUAUCCUCUUCCAUUCUGAUUUUCUAAGGCAGUUGAUGAUCCCUGGAAAAUGCGCCUCAAAAUUAUUAGGCACGUUUAAAUAGAAAAUGUCAUGAUUGGGAACUUUCAUGCUAAAAAAACAAAACUGAAUGUGUUAAGAAAUAAGAUGCCUUGGUGUAUCAGCUCCUUAAGCUUUGAGAAAAUAGGAACUCAUUUCAUUCACGCGUUCAUUCAUUCAGUAGAUGUGUAUUCAGUGCUUAUCCGGCGGGGUUGGCAGCAGUGAGCUAGACAGAUAUUCUCCUUGCCUGCUGGAGCUCACGUCUCAGGAACUACGGGAUCACAAAUUUAAUAGCACCUAUGACGUACUGUGUGCUGUGUAAGGCUAUAACAGGAGAAGUAAAGUAAGUGGGGGGGGGGGGCAACUGACAUCUUCUCUGAGCAACUUUUGAAGGAUGAGGAAUUAACUAGAUCAAAAAAGUGAGAGAGUUCCCUGGAAGCUCAGCGGGUUAAGGAUCCAGCUUUAUCACUGCGUGGCCCAGGUCACUGCUGUGGCAUGGCUUUGAUCUCUGGCCUGGAGACACACAUGCCAUCUGCAUGGCCAAAAAAAAAAAAAAAAAAAAAAAAAAAGUGGGAACUCAGGCAGCUCCUCCAGAGUUUAAACAGAGUUACCGUAUGACACAGCAAUUCCCCAACUAGGUAUGACAGUCUUCCAUACAAAAUCUAACACCCAAAUGUUCACAGCAGUAUUAUUCCUAAGAGGCAAAAAGUGGAAAUAAUUCAGAUGCACAUCAACUGAUGCUGGAUACAUAAAUGACACAUAUGCUCAUACAACGGACUAUUCUCCAGCAAGAAAAAGGAACGGCGUCGUGACCCGGGCUACAACAUGGGUGAACCUUGACGAAGCUACGCUAAGUGACAUCCAGCAGACACAAAAGGCCACAUGGCACAUAUGGUGCGUGUCUAGAAGAGACAGAUCUAUAAAGACAGAAAGUAAAUCGGUGCCUGUCUGGGCUGGGGAUGAGGAGCUUGGGAGGAAAUGUGGAGUGGCCGCUAAUGGAGAGAGGGCUUCUGUUGGGGGUCAUGAAAAUGUCCCCAAAUUGACUGGUGACAGCGUGCACAACUAUAAACAUAUGAAAAGCCACUGAGUUCAACAAUCUGAGUGGGAGAAUUGUAUGGGAUGUGAAUCUCAAGAAAGCUAUAUAUGUGAAAGAAAAAAAGAAAAGAGAGCAACUCUGGAGAUUCAUUAAUCACCAUUAGGUGAGGCCCACAGAGAAAGUAGCAGGAAUUGGUUUCCUCUGCCGUGGGCUCCCUGGAAACUCACUUUCCUGUAGACAAAUGAGAAUAAAGUUGAUCAAAUUUUACGUCAGUCUAGUCACUUUACUGCAUGACAUUUUAGCUGCGGAAAAACCCAGGGGAGCCUACUGUAAGAUCUUUGAUCAACGGGCCCGUGUCUUGCACGGCUCUCCCUUGUUUUCUGCAUAUGUUAUGCCGCAGCCACAAAGGAGAUGACGGUGGGGUCACUUAAUUUAAAAAUGGAUAAAGAUCUGCAUAGCAUACAAUCGUCUACACCAAACCUUCAGAAAAUGUUCACAGCCUUAGGCGGUCACUGAAUCUUCUAGAGGAUUUUCCUUUGGCUUUAGUUCAGGGAGCGACGGCCACACAAGUUGGGACCCACAAGCACAGUGCCUUCUUCUACAUUUUCAUUAUUACUAUUAUUAUUGUUUUGCUUUUUAGGGCCACACCCAAGGCAUAUGGAAGUUCCCAGGCUAGGAGUCAAAUUGGAGCUAUAGCCGCCGGCCUACACCACAGCCACAGCAAUCAGGAUCCAAGCCGCAUCUGUGACCUACACCACAGUUCACGGCAACGCUGGAUCCUUAACCCCAGAGCAAGGCCAAGGGUCGAAUCCACAUCCUCAUGGAUACCAGUGAGGUGCUUACCCUGCUGAGCCACAACGGGAACUCCUUAAUUAAAUACCGAAUCAGGAUUCUUCUAAAGGAGGGGAAAAAAUUCCUCAAACCACUGUUUAGUUUUUUUAAAGGUAGGAUUUAUGAAUUAAGCAACUAAUAAUGAUUCUGGGAGGUGCAAGUGACCUAAGAAUUUAGGUCUUGAUGAAGGGGAUUGCUUCCAAAAUACAAAGCAAAAUGCUGUAGAUCUAUAGCUAUCAAAUUGGCAAGGUCUAAGUACCUGGGGACAGAUGAGAAGGCCUCUUAACAGUAGACAAACUUUUGGGUUUCUUCUGAACUUAUUUUAGGAGUUCCCUGGCAGCUCAGCAGGUGCAGGAUCCAGCAUUGUCACUGCUGUGGCUUGGGUCACUGCAGUGGCAAGGGUUUGAUCCCUGGCCCGGGAACGUCUGCAAGUUUAUUCUUGCCAAGAUCUCAGCGGGAUAUCACUCUGUAUUUGAAGCUGACGCGAGAUUCCCUUUGAACUGUCCUCAGAUUUUUCCUUUUUCUUCAUAGUGUUCUCUUUUUUUUUUAAAGAGGAAAAAAAUGUAAAUUGAUUUUCCUUCUGCCUUAAAAACUUAUACAAAUAAACUGGAAGGAAAUAUACCAUAAAAUAGUGGUUGAAUCUAGUUUAGAGGAGCGUGUUUUCAAAAUUUUCUGCAAUGAAGUUUUAUUACAUCUGGGUCAGAGCAUGAAAAUAUGUGCCCUUGAAUUUCUCUAGGAGAGUCAACUGCUUAUGUGCUUCUCAUUUCAAGAUAGCAUCUGGAAUUCUAGUUGUUCUAAUGCCCAAGUCCUCUCUCUACUUAUGACAUCAUAGAGCAUGGGUUUGGGAGUCAAACAAACGAAGGUUUAAAUCUCUACUUUGGCUGACAAGAAGAGAACUGAUAUAAGAUGCUGGCUCUUGAGCCAAAACCAACUCCGGAGAUGAAACAAAAACAAGACAGGAGUUGAUUGCCCUCAGAUCUUAAAAACUGUGAAAAACUUUGGGAGAGACAAAUAUGGCAGGGCAAGAAAGAGCAGGCAGGAGCAAAAGUGGACCAAGUACUUGAGGGGAGGAAAAUGUGCAGGAAUUCUACUUCUGGUGGGGGGGGGGGGGCAAAACAGCAACUCUGGGUACUGGAAUGAGCAGAAAACAAUGAAGUCGGUCUCUGGGCAGCCCCUCCCCCAACCCCGCCCGCUGGAGAAAGUUCCUCCAACUGGGACAGGUCGAUCUUUCUCUGGCAAACAUACAGGGAAGUUCCCGAGGGAUAGAGGACAUGGGGAGAGGAUGGGACCACUUUGCAAGGAACUAGGUUUCCCACUUGAACCACACCCCCACAGCGAGACUACGCUAUAUGAUACCACAAUGAUGGGUACAGACACAUUUGUCAAAAUCCACAGACUAUUCCAAUGUAAACUGUGAGCUUUGAGUGUUAAUGAUGUAGGUUCAUUGAUUGCAACAAAAGUACUGCUGUGGUCCAGAAUGUCCAUGAUGGGGGUGGUUUGGAAAUAAAGAAAUGAGGUUAUGUGGGAACUCUGUACGUUCCACUCAAUGUUGCUGUGAACCUAAAGCGCCUAUAAAAAAGUCAAGCUCAUUGAUGUAAAAAGGAGGGUUUAUCACAAUAAUUUGAAAUGCUCUCUUGAUACCUUCCCUUAAGGAAAUCCCUAUUGCCCACAACAAUCAUCACCAAUGACCUCCUUUAGUAAUGGACCCACACGGUCAGGUUCAACAUUCCGCAGCACCCAUAUUUCAUGAAUAUAUAUGUCGUUCUUCCCAUUUAUCUCGUCUUAAUUCUGCCCUUACCCCCGUGCAUCUUAGCCUGCCCAUUCGAUGCUGUAAUUAUUAGCUGCUUUGGUAAUAAGGUAUAAAUCACUUUUUAUGGCUUCUUCACCAUGUUUCUGCUAACAGCUACCAAACCAUGUUAACGUGACAUUAUACACUCCAAAGGGAGGGACAUGACCCCACCACACACUUCCCAAAGAUUUAUUACACGGCUGGACCGCUAGGUCGAGGAACCUCUUCAGCUUACAGCACCAGGAGCUUAAUAUGUCCUGCUCUCCCUGGCCAGCAGCCCUUCAGGAAAAUGUCAGUGUAGGAAACCCGGGUAGUGUGGAAUCAGUUAAAACGUCUGACUUUUUAAAAAAGGAGAUGAUAUAUCUCCC
This 5054-nucleotide long non-coding RNA is filed under the name Sus scrofa (pig). Its description in RNAcentral is "lncRNA (ENSSSCG00025000199.1)". The record is from RNAcentral. Lineage: Eukaryota; Metazoa; Chordata; Mammalia; Artiodactyla; Suidae.